This 309-nucleotide unclassified non-coding RNA is filed under the name Hevea brasiliensis (rubber tree). Lineage: Eukaryota; Viridiplantae; Streptophyta; Magnoliopsida; Malpighiales; Euphorbiaceae. The record is from RNAcentral.
GCGAAGAAGCUGGUACUAAGGAGAUACUCUCUUCUCCAGUCUAUGAGACUCUUUCUGAUGAAGAUUUGACUAAGAAUGAUGGUGCAAAGCUUGAGCAUGAAAAUGUAAUUACUCAAUCCAAAGAAGGAGAGGUCAGUUCCAAUGGAGAUGAAACUAAUUCUUUAAAUGAUGCUGCAAGUAUCAUUGAUGAGUUAGUUUUACAGCAGGAAAGUAUGAGGGAUAGUACAAAUCCAAAAAAGAAUUACCAUUCUGCCUUGAAGCCCCUAGAAUUGGCUGAGGAAGCUGAAAAGAAGCAGGCCUUCACGGCUA